GUUAAUGUAGCUUAAUAACCAAAGCAAGGCACUGAAAAUGCCUAGACGAGCCUACCAGCUCCAUAAACA
This 69-nucleotide transfer RNA is filed under the name Dicerorhinus sumatrensis (Sumatran rhinoceros). Its description in RNAcentral is "partial tRNA-Phe". It matches the Rfam family "tRNA". Rfam says of the family: Transfer RNA (tRNA) molecules are approximately 80 nucleotides in length. Their secondary structure includes four short double-helical elements and three loops (D, anti-codon, and T loops). Further hydrogen bonds mediate the characteristic L-shaped molecular structure. tRNAs have two regions of fundamental functional importance: the anti-codon, which is responsible for specific mRNA codon recognition, and the 3' end, to which the tRNAs corresponding amino acid is attached (by aminoacyl-tRNA synthetases). tRNAs cope with the degeneracy of the genetic code in two manners: having more than one tRNA (with a specific anti-codon) for a particular amino acid; and 'wobble' base-pairing, i.e. permitting non-standard base-pairing at the 3rd anti-codon position. Lineage: Eukaryota; Metazoa; Chordata; Mammalia; Perissodactyla; Rhinocerotidae. The record is from RNAcentral.